RNAcentral lists this ribosomal RNA (495 nucleotides) under uncultured bacterium. RNAcentral describes it as "bacterial SSU rRNA". It matches the Rfam family "Bacterial small subunit ribosomal RNA", at positions 28 to 507 of the family's 1533-position model. The record is from RNAcentral.
GAUGAACGCUAGCUACAGGCUUAACACAUGCAAGUCGAGGGGAAACGACAUCGAAAGCUUGCUUUUGAUAGGCGUCGACCGGCGCACGGGUGAGUAACGCGUAUCCAACCUGCCCACCACUUGGGGAUAACCUUGCGAAAGUAAGACUAAUACCCGAUGAUAUCUCUAGAAGACAUCUGAAAGAGAUUAAAGAUUUAUCGGUGAUGGAUGGGGAUGCGUCUGAUUAGCUUGUUGGCGGGGUAAACGGCCCACCAAGGCGACGAUCAGUAGGGGUUCUGAGAGGAAGGUCCCCCACAUUGGAACUGAGACACGGUCCAAAACUCCUACGGGAGGCAGCAGUGAGGAAUAUUGGUCAAAUGGGCGAGAGCCUGAACCAGCCAAGUAGCGUGCAGGAUGACGGCCCUAUGGGUUGUAAACUGCUUUUAUAAGGGAAUAAAGUGAGCCUCGUGAGGCUUUUUGCAUGUACCUUAUGAAUAAGGACCGGCUAAUUCCGUG